Molecule: ribosomal RNA, 431 nt
Filed under: uncultured archaeon
Lineage: Archaea
Description: bacterial SSU rRNA
Rfam family: Archaeal small subunit ribosomal RNA
Source: RNAcentral
CCGAAUUCCGAGGAGACUGUCAGGCUUGGGAUCGGGAGAGGUAUGAGGUACUUCAGGGUAGGGGUAAAAUCCUGUAAUCCUUGGAGGACCACCGGUGGCGAAGGCGUCAUACUAGAACGAAUCCGACGGUGAGGGACGAAGCCCUAGGUCGCAAACGGGAUUAGAUACCCCGGUAGUCUAGGGUGUAAACGCUGCAGACUUGGUGUUGGGGGCCCUUCGGGGGCAUUCAGUGCCGGAGAGAAGUUGUUAAGUCUGCUACUUGGGGAGUACGUCCGCAAGGAUGAAACUUAAAGGAAUUGGCGGGGGAGCACCGCAAACCGGGAGGAGCGUGCGGUUUAAUUGGAUUCAACACCGGAAAACUCACCAAGGGAGACCAUCACAUGAAAGCCAGGCUAAUGACUUUGCUUGAUUCUUGGAGUAGAGGUGCAUGG